GGCUGGUCUAACGGAGUUUAAGCCUUUUGCGGGGCUCCUAGCAGUCGUAUGUUUGUUUGCAGAAAUGAUUACGUGAGCACAGAGGGCAGAUUACAACGAGGAAAGCAUAUUAUCCAGUUUGUGUCUUUCAAAAGUUCUUUUUCCUCUAUGAGUCACGGCAUAACCACGUUCUUGCUGCAUACCUGUGUGAGACGGUUUUCUUCAUAUACUUCAACCAAAUGCAUAUGGCAAUAGAUUCAAUGCAGAGGCAGAUGAGUGUCCAGUUGUUUUCGACCGAGCUAGACCUUACGGAUGUCACAGAAAGAUGGCAGGCGCUUCUCCAUUUGCAAAUGUCACCCGGGAAACCGCCUUGGAGCUGAGGCGUGUGAAACAAAGGCAAGUCCUUGAGCAGAUCCUUCUGGGAGCUUACGGGGAGCUUCAGGGAGCGACUUAGGUCAAAACGUGGAUCCGUGGUUCUUUGAGUGAGCUUUAUUCUGGUUGCUGAAAGUUUCUUUUAUUAGAUUGUAGAGUUCUGGAAAACUUCAUCGUGACAAUUCUUGCCAGCUUGUUCACUGCUUUUAUGAAGGGAUGAAGGUUUGGAGUUGUCUACUCUGCUGUUUUCAGAGACGUCUGUCCUGUGGAGAGAAUGGGUGACACGGGUGUGGUAUUCCUGAUUCCAACAAAAGGGCAGCAUCCGGUCCAGAUCCCUUCCGACUUAUCUGGGAGUCUUGAGAGUUGGAUGCCUGAGGAGAUUUGUGGCCGAGCCCUGGAAAUCAUUGACCUGCCCCUUCUGUGGGGUCUACUCUGAGGAACCCUAUUCCAUAACGUGCGCACCUUCUGUCCAAGGCGCCUGGGCUCCUCGGUGAUGCAGACUGACAGGAGGCUUUUCAUCCACUCCGGGUGCUUUCAGUUCUCCCAGAAGUCAGGCCAGGAAAACCUGGUAGCAGGACGUUUGGCGGACCUUUUCAGAGAGUUGGACUCUGGAGCCGAGCACUGAGCACGGGCCUCAGGUCGGCAGGUUUGUGUGUGACCAUGACAGAAAACCGGAAAAGACUCAUCUCUUCCUUUUACCUGCACUGUUUUGAAGACCUCUGCUUGACAUCUUGCAAACAACUUAUGCCUCCCCUGCCUUCAGCAUUUGGCGAGAAAGCAGCAGACGGGCUAUUCAUUUCUCGCCAGCCUCUUGACAUCCCUCAGAUAUACGCAAGAUCCGGAUCAACACGGCCCUUGGGAGGGCGGCUGAGACGAAGGUGCUCACGCCUGCGCCAAGCCCGUGCUGCUGUAUGCUCGGCUUUUAUGUGAACGUGAACUUGGGUUCACUAACCACCCCCGACUGUCUCACAUCCUCUGAGACAUGUGAGGUGUCAGAAGGGUAUGUCUGCUCGAGUCCGGUAGAGACUCCUGAGACAUUCCUCUCCACCGCUGGCGUCCUGGCUUCUCCACUUCACUUCUGGCCGCAACGAUUAGAAGAUGGAAAUGGGAGGGAGGUAGAAAUGGGAUAUAGGUGCUUGCUUGGCAUCUGCCCAUUGUCAAGGAACAUUCCCUGUGUCUUCAGAGCUCAGAUUUAGUGUUGGGAGCCUCACAGGAGGAUGUGAAGUUGUGUUAUCCGAACCCAGGACUGUUCUCCACAUGCGCCGAAAGUUACAGAAGGACGGAGCCGUGAAUUGCUGCUUUAGAAGGAAACCAAGAGCUAGCCUGUGGACAGUAUCCAGGAGGAAUCUGUGUAAAAUGCCAAUGAAAAUACUCCCAGUCAAAACAUGAGGUGUGUGGGUGAGCUGCGAACAAAGAAGACGUCAUCACAUUGAAGGCUCAACGUGCCAAGCGAGAAAGAUGACCAAUAGGCAGAUGAAGCACCCAACUGCACAGGCUAAAGGCGGACUCCGAAACAGAAGGCUUUCAAAGGGAAAGGAUUUGCAAAGACAAGAAGGAAGUCAGAUUUCAGAAAGAUCUGCUCCCCCAGUAGAGAACCUGGUAAGCAUUUGAUUCAAGAAACCAUAAAGUUAUCAAGGUUUCCAAGUUUAUAUCUGUGUGUUAAUGCUGGCAACAGACAACUUCCUCACGUGACGUUAUAGUCACAAAGACCAAGUCAUAGUCUCAGAUGCCAACAUAACAAGAUCAGGAGCAGAAUUGCUCUUGUUUGGAAACCAGGUUUAUAGGAUGUUCACUAUUUUAAGAGCUUGGAGACCCAAGCCAGUUAGGGUGGUCCUGUUAUUUUUAAUUUAGCUCAGAAUGCAAAGUGCUUUACUUUUUUCCGUAUUGCCGUCUCUGAAGUGCUCAGUCGUAUUGGGAGUAGAGUCAUGUAUCGGUGUUGGCUUCCUGCUUCCCUCUUUUGGUCAAGUUCCUGCCAUUAAGAUGUGGAUUUGAUAGCAGGGUUGGCCUGUGGUGGUGGUGGUGGUGGUGGUGAUUGUUGUUUUUAAAUUCAGUAUCAUUAAUUGUUUUUGUGUCCUUUGACUUGUUUGUACAGGAGUAACUAGAGUUGUUUUCAUAGAAGAUCCUUUGAACGGUUAUCAAAAAUGCAGUCACAUCAUAUGGAGGUCUAAAACUCUGCUUUUUGGGGGGAUUUUGUUCAGCCCGUAGCCUUAUAAUUGCCUUUCAUGUUCAGAAGUAUUUUACUUCCUUUAUCAGAUCUGUUGGGAUCGAGAACUGAGAAAUUAAUCUGCUCUACCAGGUCACCCUGAAGUAACUAUGACUGUAAGGGUCCCCAUGUUAGACUGUUCCUGGCCUGCAAGUGACAAGCUGAAAAUACAUAUAAGGGGAAUAUCUCAUAAGCAUAGAGCAGACACCAGGCAACUUUUCCUGGGAGGAAUUUACGGAUACCUUUUCCACAUGUGAAUCUGCCCUGAAGAGUGGGCUUUUGAUGGGAUGUCUAG
This is a long non-coding RNA of Prionailurus viverrinus (fishing cat), 2849 nucleotides long. RefSeq lists it as uncharacterized. The transcript has 5 exons. The record is from RefSeq and is a predicted model, not a curated record. NCBI's taxonomy places the organism in Eukaryota, Metazoa, Chordata, Mammalia, Carnivora, Felidae.